This 693-nucleotide ribosomal RNA is filed under the name Bacillus sp. FJAT-17280. RNAcentral's name for it is "bacterial SSU rRNA". It matches the Rfam family "Bacterial small subunit ribosomal RNA", at positions 74 to 751 of the family's 1533-position model. The record is from RNAcentral. Lineage: Bacteria; Bacillati; Bacillota; Bacilli; Caryophanales; Bacillaceae.
GGGAGCUUGCUCCCGUUAAUUAGCGGCGGACGGGUGAGUAACACGUGGGCAACCUACCUAUAAGACUGGGAUAACUUCGGGAAACCGGAGCUAAUACCGGAUGACACUGAGGAACUCCUGUUCCUUAGUUGAAAGAUGGCUUCGGCUAUCACUUAUAGAUGGGCCCGCGGCGCAUUAGCUAGUUGGUGAGGUAACGGCUCACCAAGGCGACGAUGCGUAGCCGACCUGAGAGGGUGAUCGGCCACACUGGGACUGAGACACGGCCCAGACUCCUACGGGAGGCAGCAGUAGGGAAUCUUCCGCAAUGGACGAAAGUCUGACGGAGCAACGCCGCGUGAGCGAUGAAGGCCUUCGGGUCGUAAAGCUCUGUUGUUAGGGAAGAACAAGUGCUAGUUAAAUAAGCUGGCACCUUGACGGUACCUAACCAGAAAGCCACGGCUAACUACGUGCCAGCAGCCGCGGUAAUACGUAGGUGGCAAGCGUUGUCCGGAAUUAUUGGGCGUAAAGCGCGCGCAGGCGGUUUCUUAAGUCUGAUGUGAAAGCCCCCGGCUCAACCGGGGAGGGUCAUUGGAAACUGGGAAACUUGAGUGCAGAAGAGGAAAGUGGAAUUCCAAGUGUAGCGGUGAAAUGCGUAGAGAUUUGGAGGAACACCAGUGGCGAAGGCGACUUUCUGGUCUGUAACUGACGCUGAGG